GAUGAACGCUGGCGGCAUGCCUGACACAUGCCAGUCGAUCGGUAAGGCUCUUCGGAGUACACGAGAGGCGGACGGCUGAGUAACGCGUAGGAACACACCCUGCAGUGAGGGAUAAGACACCGAAAGGUGUUCUAAUACCGCAUACGGUCUUCGGAUUAAAGCAUUUAUGCGCUGAAGGAGUGGCCUGCGUCAUAUUAGAUAGUUGGUGAGGUAAUGGCUCACCAAGUCGAUGAUGUGUAGCUGGUCUGAGAGGAUGAUCAGCCAGACUGGAACUGAGACACGGUCCAGACUCCUACGGGAGGCAGCAGUGAGGAAUAUUUCACAAUGAGCGAAAGCUUGAUGGAGCAAUGCCGCGUGCAGGAUGAAGGCCCUCGGGUUGUAAACUGCUUUUAUAAGAGAAGAUUAUGACGGUAACUUAUGAAUAAGGGACGGCUAACUACGUG
Molecule: ribosomal RNA, 443 nt
Filed under: uncultured bacterium
Lineage: Bacteria
Description: partial 16S ribosomal RNA
Rfam family: Bacterial small subunit ribosomal RNA
Source: RNAcentral